RNAcentral lists this transfer RNA (70 nucleotides) under Cavia porcellus (domestic guinea pig). It matches the Rfam family "tRNA". Rfam says of the family: Transfer RNA (tRNA) molecules are approximately 80 nucleotides in length. Their secondary structure includes four short double-helical elements and three loops (D, anti-codon, and T loops). Further hydrogen bonds mediate the characteristic L-shaped molecular structure. tRNAs have two regions of fundamental functional importance: the anti-codon, which is responsible for specific mRNA codon recognition, and the 3' end, to which the tRNAs corresponding amino acid is attached (by aminoacyl-tRNA synthetases). tRNAs cope with the degeneracy of the genetic code in two manners: having more than one tRNA (with a specific anti-codon) for a particular amino acid; and 'wobble' base-pairing, i.e. permitting non-standard base-pairing at the 3rd anti-codon position. The record is from Rfam by way of RNAcentral. Lineage: Eukaryota; Metazoa; Chordata; Mammalia; Rodentia; Caviidae.
GGGGCUUUAGCUCAGCGGCAUGAGCACCUGCCUUGCAAGCAGGUGGUCGUGAGUUCGAUCCCUGGUACCA